Hippocampus zosterae (dwarf seahorse) is the source of this 526-nucleotide long non-coding RNA. RefSeq lists it as uncharacterized. The record is from RefSeq and is a predicted model, not a curated record. The transcript has 3 exons. NCBI's taxonomy places the organism in Eukaryota, Metazoa, Chordata, Actinopteri, Syngnathiformes, Syngnathidae.
GUGAUCCCUCACUUAUCACGGUUAAUGGGGACCAGAACCAGCCGUGGUAAGUGAAAAACCGCCAAGUAGGGUUUAAACCUUUUGAUUAGAAAACCUUCUACUGUACGCCCCGGCUAGCUCCUGGCUAGCUAUCGUCGCGCAGCCUAUGCGUCAUAUGAUGAGACAAUUAAUCGGUAUUGUAGCCGAGUAAACAAAGAGCGAAGUGCUGCUGCUGUGGGACGGUGUCCAUUUUCUCUCUCACUCUUUCUCCCUAAAUGGUCUUUGAAACCCCAAAGUUGUGUUAAUCAAAUCCAGUGGCCUCCCGUUAUUCGUUUUACUGGACAAUCGCGGUGGUUUAAACAAAAAACAAAAAAAAAAGCCCACACGCAUUGAAAUAAAUUCCAUGGAUAAGUAAUUCCAUCCUGCAGUGCUCGCGCGCGUUUCCAAGCUAGCUCCAUUAAAAGACUCUCGUCUCUGAUGGACUACCAAGAAGUCUUUUAAAGUUCACAAAAUGGGCCACCAAAGGUCAUUGAACACUCAAAAUUGU